Molecule: ribosomal RNA, 423 nt
Filed under: uncultured Sphingomonas sp.
Lineage: Bacteria; Pseudomonadati; Pseudomonadota; Alphaproteobacteria; Sphingomonadales; Sphingomonadaceae
Description: bacterial SSU rRNA
Rfam family: Bacterial small subunit ribosomal RNA
Source: RNAcentral
AUGCAAGUCGAACGAAGGCUUCGGCCUUAGUGGCGCACGGGUGCGUAACGCGUGGGAAUCUGCCCUUGGGUUCGGAAUAACAGUUAGAAAUUUCUGCUAAUACCGGAUGAUGACGAAAGUCCAAAGAUUUAUCGCCCAAGGAUGAGCCCGCGUAGGAUUAGGUAGUUGGUGAGGUAAAGGCUCACCAAGCCGAUGAUCCUUAGCUGGUCUGAGAGGAUGAUCAGCCACACUGGGACUGAGACACGGCCCAGACUCCUACGGGAGGCAGCAGUGGGGAAUAUUGGACAAUGGGCGAAAGCCUGAUCCAGCAAUGCCGCGUGAGUGAUGAAGGCCUUUGGGUUGUAAAGCUUUUUUACCCGGGAUGAUAAUGACAGUACCGGGAGAAUAAGCCCCGGCUAACUCCGUGCCAGCAGCCGCGGUAAU